AUUGAACGCUGGCGGCAUGCCUUACACAUGCAAGUCGAACGGUACAGGUCUUCGGAUGCUGACGAGUGGCGAACGGGUGAGUAAUACAUCGGAACGUGCCUAGUAGUGGGGGAUAACUACUCGAAAGAGUGGCUAAUACCGCAUGAGAUCUACGGAUGAAAGCAGGGGAUCGCAAGACCUUGUGCUACUAGAGCGGCCGAUGGCAGAUUAGGUAGUUGGUGGGAUAAAAGCUUACCAAGCCGACGACCUGUAGCUGGUCUGAGAGGACGAUCAGCCACACUGGGACUGAGCAACGGCCCAGACUCCUACGGGAGGCAGCAGUGGGGAAUUUGGGACAAUGGGCGAAAGCCUGAUCCAGCAAUGCCGCGUGCAGGAUGAAGGCCUUCGGGUUGUAAACUGCUUUUGUACGGAACGAAAAGCCCCGGGUUAAUACCCUGGGGUCAUGACGGUACCGUAAGAAUAAGCACCGGCUAACUACGUGCCAGCCGCCGCCGUAA
RNAcentral lists this ribosomal RNA (497 nucleotides) under uncultured bacterium. RNAcentral describes it as "partial 16S ribosomal RNA". It matches the Rfam family "Bacterial small subunit ribosomal RNA", at positions 30 to 523 of the family's 1533-position model. The record is from RNAcentral.